AUACGGAGGGGACUAGCGUUGUUCGGAAUUACUGGGCGUAAAGCGUACGUAGGCGGAUCAGAAAGUAUGGGGUGAAAUCCCAGGGCUCAACCCUGGAACUGCCUCAUAAACUCCUGGUCUUGAGUUCGAGAGAGGUGAGUGGAAUUCCGAGUGUAGAGGUGAAAUUCGUAGAUAUUCGGAGGAACACCAGUGGCGAAGGCGGCUCACUGGCUCGAUACUGACGCUGAGGUACGAAAGUGUGGGGAGCAAACAGGAGUAGAAACCCCAGUAGUCC
RNAcentral lists this ribosomal RNA (274 nucleotides) under uncultured bacterium. RNAcentral's name for it is "partial 16S ribosomal RNA". It matches the Rfam family "Bacterial small subunit ribosomal RNA", at positions 523 to 796 of the family's 1533-position model. The record is from RNAcentral.